UCGAGAGGGGGUCCUACCACAUACCACUAGCCUGGGGAAAAGACCCAAACUCAAAAUUCUACGUACAGUUUCUACUGCAUGCAUGCUGCUUUUGCAAAAUCUUAAGAGUCAAAAAAAUCAGAAGUCUAACCGUCAUAAGCCGGGGACCAUCUGUGUGUUAACACCAUUCACUUGCCAAUGUAUUUGUUGAUUUCAAAAUAAUUCAAGUAAUUUUAAGCUAUACACAUUUUUUUUCCUCUAGCAAAACGUCCUGGGCCACUCAGCCCCAUGGUGUGGAUGUGCCUCUGUCAGAUAACGCCUGGAACCAGGCUGAAGGUUCUUCCCAGACCCAGUUUUCCUACCAUCCAGCCCACAAAAGGCUCAGGAAUUUGUGUGGAAAGGUCCCCGGGGGCGAGCACCAGAGGCCCAGCGCUAUCAUUCUGGCUGUCUGAACUUCAACAAACUGCCUGAACACCAUGAGCCCCCAGCCCCCUCAGCGUAGCUCCUUCCUGCCCUUUCUCCUUGUUUUCGGAAGGAACCGAGAGCCGGCUCCUCUUCUGGGAGAACUUCAGAGCCCACCCAUCCACCAC
Long non-coding RNA from Ailuropoda melanoleuca (giant panda), 569 nucleotides. RefSeq lists it as uncharacterized. The record is from RefSeq and is a predicted model, not a curated record. Lineage: Eukaryota; Metazoa; Chordata; Mammalia; Carnivora; Ursidae. The transcript has 3 exons.